CCUACUCAGUGCAGAAGUCACACUCUUGUGGGAGGUGUGCGGGGCCAAGUGUGAGAGCGUGUGUGUGUGUGUGUGUGUGUGUGUGUGUGUGUGUGGAGUGCAAUCCGAGUGAGUGCAUCUGCCCCCGUGCCCCUCCCCCACCCCCUACACGUGGAUCUUAUUUGAUCUGGUCAGGUUGUGAUCCCCUCAGGCCGCCAAGAAGUGUAAAGCAGCCUUCCUGCUAAGCCCCUCUGGGAGCUGUGCAGUGAGGCCCCAAAAAAUAAAGAAAAAAACAAGCAACCUCAGGCUGGAGAGAUGGCUCAGUGGUUAAAGGCACUUACUUGUUUCUGAGCCUGACA
Molecule: non-coding RNA, 338 nt
Organism: Jaculus jaculus (lesser Egyptian jerboa)
Lineage: Eukaryota; Metazoa; Chordata; Mammalia; Rodentia; Dipodidae
Product: small Cajal body-specific RNA 2
Exons: 1
Source: RefSeq, a predicted model, not a curated record